AGUGAACGCUGGCGGUAGGCCUAACACAUGCAAGUCGAACGGCAGCACAGUAAGAGCUUGCUCUUACGGGUGGCGAGUGGCGGACGGGUGAGGAAUACAUCGGAAUCUACUUUUUCGUGGGGGAUAACGUAGGGAAACUUACGCUAAUACCGCAUACGACCUACGGGUGAAAGCAGGGGAUCUUCGGACCUUGCGCGAUUGAAUGAGCCGAUGUCGGAUUAGCUAGUUGGCGGGGUAAAGGCCCACCAAGGCGACGAUCCGUAGCUGGUCUGAGAGGAUGAUCAGCCACACUGGAACUGAGGCACGGUCCAGACUCCUACGGGAGGCAGCAGUGGGGAAUAUUGGACAAUGGGCGCAAGCCUGAUCCAGCCAUACCGCGUGGGUGAAGAAGGCCUUCGGGUUGUAAAGCCCUUUUGUUGGGAAAGAAAAGCAGCAGGUUAAUACCCCGCUGUUCUGACGGUACCCAAAGAAUAAGCACCGGCUAACUUCG
This 490-nucleotide ribosomal RNA is filed under the name uncultured bacterium. RNAcentral's name for it is "partial 16S ribosomal RNA". It matches the Rfam family "Bacterial small subunit ribosomal RNA", at positions 29 to 505 of the family's 1533-position model. The record is from RNAcentral.